UACAGAGGAUGCAAGCGUUAUCCGGAUUCACUGGGUUUAAAGGGAGCGUAGGUGGGUUGGUAAGUCAGUGGUGAAAUCCCCGAGCUUAACUUGGGAACUGCCAUUGAUACUAUCAGUCUUGAAUACUGUGGAGGUUAGCGGAAUAUGUCAUGUAGCGGUGAAAUGCUUAGAUAUGACAUAGAACACCAAUUGCGAAGGCAGCUGGCUACACAAAUAUUGACACUGAUGCACGAAAGCGUGGGGAUCAAACAGG
This 253-nucleotide ribosomal RNA is filed under the name uncultured bacterium. RNAcentral describes it as "partial 16S ribosomal RNA". It matches the Rfam family "Bacterial small subunit ribosomal RNA", at positions 524 to 776 of the family's 1533-position model. The record is from RNAcentral.